Wasmannia auropunctata (little fire ant) is the source of this 651-nucleotide long non-coding RNA. RefSeq lists it as uncharacterized. The transcript has 3 exons. NCBI's taxonomy places the organism in Eukaryota, Metazoa, Arthropoda, Insecta, Hymenoptera, Formicidae. The record is from RefSeq and is a predicted model, not a curated record.
AGAUCCGGAAGCUGCUAAUCCAAUAAAUGAUAUAAUAGCAACUAAUAUCAUUUUUGAAGAUUUGCCAAUAGAUAGUCAGAAUAUUGUUUCUAUCCUGCAAAACACGAUUACGAUUAAAAAAUUAUUGGAACAACAGAAUACAUUUUUAGCACAAUUAAACAAUACAAAUUAUAAUACGAUUCCACUCUGCUCUCAGCAUCUGGUUUAAACAGUAAUAACACUAAUUUUUCUAUUAUUCCGAACAAACCUUUUAAGAAAUUUACAAAAUUACUUGAUUAUGAUACGGCAUUAAAAACUAAUGAGGAACGACAAAAACAACUGGAAACAUUUUUCUAUUUAUUAGGAGGUACUUCUCCCCAGGACCAAAUAAAAGCUGGGUUACAAAAAGUAUUCACUAAUAAAUUGAGUACAAAAUGUUCCUGGAUGGGUCGCAAAGGCAAUUUUGAAGUAAAGACACUAAUAAUCAUAGACAUUUUAAAACAUAAAUAGAAAUUUAAAAAUAUGUAAGCUGAAUUAUCGUACCAGUACUGUACAUAUUAAUAUUUUUCGUUUGUAGGAUCGACUAGAAAACACUUUCCAUUUUUGACUGAAAAACAAUUUCAGAGCUACGUGUCAAUUUGGUUUAGGCACUCAAAAACUCGCUACAACAAA